Molecule: ribosomal RNA, 308 nt
Filed under: uncultured bacterium
Lineage: Bacteria
Description: bacterial SSU rRNA
Rfam family: Bacterial small subunit ribosomal RNA
Source: RNAcentral
GACGAACGCUGGCGGCGUGCUUAACACAUGCAAGUCGAACGGGAAGGCCCUGCUUUUGUGGGGUGCUCGAGUGGCGAACGGGUGAGUAACACGUGAGUAACCUGCCCUUGACUUUGGGAUAACUUCAGGAGACUGGGGCUAAUACCGGAUAUGACCAUUCUCCGCAUGGAGUGGUGGUGGAAAGUUUUUCGGUUGGGGAUGGGCUCGCGGCCUAUCAGCUUGUUGGUGGGGUGAUGGCCUACCAAGGCGACGACGGGUAGCCGGCCUGAGAGGGCGACCGGCCACACUGGGACUGAGACACGGCCCAG